RNAcentral lists this transfer RNA (67 nucleotides) under Streptomyces aureoverticillatus. RNAcentral's name for it is "tRNA-Arg". Lineage: Bacteria; Bacillati; Actinomycetota; Actinomycetes; Kitasatosporales; Streptomycetaceae. The record is from RNAcentral.
CGGCGAAGGGCUUGGCGGGCCGCGCCUUGCGGCGGCGCAGUUCGCCGACCGCCGCGGCGUUCGUCGC